RNAcentral lists this ribosomal RNA (406 nucleotides) under uncultured bacterium. Its description in RNAcentral is "partial 16S ribosomal RNA". It matches the Rfam family "Bacterial small subunit ribosomal RNA", at positions 30 to 526 of the family's 1533-position model. The record is from RNAcentral.
AUUGAACGCUGGCGGCAGGCUUAACACAUGCAAGUCGAGCGAGCGGCAGACGGGUGAGUAAUGUCUGGGAAACUGCCUGAUGGAGGGGGAUGACUACUGGAAACGGUAGCUAAUACCGAAUCCACUCAGAUGUGCCCAGAUGGGAGUAGCUAGUAGGAGGGGUAAAGGCUCACCUGGGCGACGAUCCCUAGCUGGUCUGAGAGGAUGACCAGCCACACUGUAACUGAGACACGGGCCAGCCUCCUACGGGAGGCAGCAGUGGGGAAUAUUGCACAAUGGGCGCAAGCCUGAUGCAGCCAGGCCGCGUGUGUGAAGAAGGCCUUCGGGUUGUACAGCACUUUCAGCGAGGAGGCGUUACUCGCAGAAGAAGCACCGGCUAACUCCGUGCCAGCCGCCGCGGUAAUAC